GACGUAGGUGGCGAGCGUUGUUCGGAAUCACUGGGCAUAAAGCGCACGUAGGCGGCCAUAUAAGUCGGGUGUGAAAGCCCCGGGCUCAACCUGGGAAUUGCAUUUGAGACUGUGUAGCUAGGGUGCGGAAGAGGGAAGCGGAAUUUCCGGUGUAGCGGUGAAAUGCGUAGAUAUCGGAAGGAACACCAGUGGCGAAAGCGGCUUCCUGGUCCAGCACCGACGUUCAGGCACGAAAGCGUGGGGAGCAAACAGG
This 253-nucleotide ribosomal RNA is filed under the name uncultured bacterium. RNAcentral describes it as "partial 16S ribosomal RNA". It matches the Rfam family "Bacterial small subunit ribosomal RNA", at positions 524 to 776 of the family's 1533-position model. The record is from RNAcentral.